Molecule: long non-coding RNA, 308 nt
Filed under: Ananas comosus (pineapple)
Lineage: Eukaryota; Viridiplantae; Streptophyta; Magnoliopsida; Poales; Bromeliaceae
Description: long non-coding RNA (ACOM_LNC017295)
Source: RNAcentral
AGUGGAGAACAUACUUAGUUAAUUCGGAUACGGUAAAAGUUCGGUAUGGAUAAAAUACAAAUAAAAUUCGUAUCUUGAUUUUUAAAUUCGUUGAAAAAUACGGUUUGAAAAUCAGAUUCGUCAAUAAUUCGUAUAGGCGAUUUAUACGAGAAUUUUAUAUUUAUCAUUUAAAAAUUCAGAAUAAAAAUUCGUCUAUUAAAUUAAUUUUUUUCUUUAGAUUUAUACUAUUAUCAUAAAUAAUUAUAAUUCUUAUAAAUAUAAAAAUAAAAUAAUAUAAAACAAUAUAUACACAUACACACAAACACAAA